AACGAACGCUGGCGGCAGGCCUAACACAUGCAAGUCGAGCGAGCAUUUCGGUGCUAGCGGCGGACGGGUGAGUAACGCGUGGGAACGUGCCCUUUUCUGCGGAAUAGUCCUGGGAAACUGGGGGUAAUACCGCAUACGCCCUUUUGGGGAAAGAUUUAUCGGAGAAGGAUCGGCCCGCGUUGGAUUAGGUAGUUGGUGGGGUAAUGGCCCACCAAGCCGACGAUCCAUAGCUGGUUUGAGAGGAUGAUCAGCCACACUGGGACUGAGACACGGCCCAGACCCCCCCGGGGGGGAGCAGUGGGGAAUCUUAGACAAUGGGGGCAACCCUGAUCUAGCCAUGCCGGGGGGGUGAUGAAGGCCUUAGGGUUGUAAAGCUCUUUCAGCUGGGAAGAUAAUGACGGUACCAGAAGAAGAAGCCCCGGCUAACUCCGU
This 432-nucleotide ribosomal RNA is filed under the name uncultured bacterium. RNAcentral describes it as "partial 16S ribosomal RNA". It matches the Rfam family "Bacterial small subunit ribosomal RNA", at positions 29 to 506 of the family's 1533-position model. The record is from RNAcentral.